GGUUAACGCUGGCGGCGUGCCUAACACAUGCAAGUCGAACGGUUCUAAGCGCGAGCUUAGGAUAGUGGCGAACGGGUGAGUAAAAGGUAGGAAUCUACCCCUUGGACGGAGAUAGCUACUGGAAACGGUAGGUAAACUUCGAUAAGCCCGAGAGGGGAAAGUGGUGAGACAGCCGAGGGAUGAGCCUACUCUCCAUCAGGUAGUUGGUGAGAUAAAAGCUUACCAAGCCGAUGACGGAUAACCGGUGUGAGAGCAUGAACGGUCACAAGGGCACUGAGAGACGGGCCCUACUCCUACGGGAGGCAGCAGUGGGGAAUCUUGGACAAUGGGCGAAAGCCUGAUCCAGCGACGCCGCGUGGAGGAAGAAGUCCUUCGGGAUGUAAACUUCUGAACUAGCCGAAUAAAAGGCCUGUGGACACACAGGAGAAGAAAGUAGGCUAGGAAAAGUCCCGGACUAACUACGUG
This 465-nucleotide ribosomal RNA is filed under the name uncultured bacterium. RNAcentral describes it as "bacterial SSU rRNA". It matches the Rfam family "Bacterial small subunit ribosomal RNA", at positions 28 to 507 of the family's 1533-position model. The record is from RNAcentral.